This 5534-nucleotide long non-coding RNA is filed under the name Sus scrofa (pig). Its description in RNAcentral is "lncRNA (ENSSSCG00045010093.1, ENSSSCG00065078992.1)". The record is from RNAcentral. Lineage: Eukaryota; Metazoa; Chordata; Mammalia; Artiodactyla; Suidae.
AAUACACAGAUAGAAAGCAAGCCCAGAAAAAAGAUGUUCUUAUUCAUUUGAUCCUCUUUUUAAAGGCCAAACAGUUACACAAUCAUUUUGACAAGCCUUUAACUCUUUAACAGGGGAUCAGGAAAAUUCUAAAGAUGUUACAUUUCAGUCCUACAAUGGCUGAAUCAAACGCGGUAUGUUUCAUAUACAGUUUGCAAGGACAAGGCCAAUAAGCUGCAAUCAGAAUACCUCAGCUGUGUUUCAGGAGAAAGGUUAUUUACUGGGGUCAGUUUUUAUCCCUGAAAAAUUGGUUUUCUUUUGGAAAUUGCCCUCUCUGGAAAUAUGAUUUGCUUUUCAUAAAAAUAUCCUUGAUGCUAUUUUUAUUAUUUUUCUCUCACACACUAUGUUUUAUGAUCCAUUGUGCCAGUGGCCUGGGUUUUGCCAGCCAUGAAACAUUUCGAGAAGUAACCCCUGGGGGUAGCAAAGGAUGGCCAUCUGUAGAUGAUGCAUAAAAUCUGUAAUCUGGCAGAAAUCAGCUAAUUAAUUAGACCCACCUUGAUGUUUAUAUUCUAUAUCUAAAAAUGUUUGUUUUAGUAAUGGUUGCCAACCACUGAAGCAAUUCGAAGACCUAAAAACUCUUAAAAUUUAUUUUCAGAUCAGUGGAAUGAACACGAGUAUGCUGCCCGAAUUUCCAAGUUUAGUAAACAUGUCUCCCCAGUCCAGUGGCGCUGGAUGAGAAGGGUCACCAGGCCACUUCACUAGGGUUGACAGUGGACCUGCUGAUGUCAGCACCCGCUAAUCUCCCAAGGUAUGAAUACAACGAAGGUGACAGCAGAGAUAAGCGCACCCUCGGGGCAGCAGAAGGGCCUCCCGAGGGCAUCCAGAGGAGCAGAUCCCUGGGGAGGUGACCCACAUUCUCCUUGUGCAUUGCUAUGCCCUGUCUCUGUGACCCUAGGAAGGGCUCCGACAAGCCCAGGAGGAGACAACCCCUGGCAGCAGAGAGGCCAGCUGGCUUAUCCUCUCACAGACCUUUGGAUGUGUUAAUGCAACGUUCCCAUCAGAUGAACAAGAACAACUGAAGUGACCAAAACGUGUCAGGGCUUCCCCUCCCUCUGGACAGACUGAAGCAGGCAGUGCCCUGCUCUGGAGCAUGGGAUGACCAAGGGUUAAUGCAACCCAGGCUCUCAGAGUUGCAGCAAGGAUUUCCUUCUCAUCACAUCUCAGCGUUCUGGAAGCAGACUGACACCUUUUUAAGUUGGAAACAGUUUCAUUCAUUUUUCAGAUGGUAAAAGUGUGGGACCAGUUGCAUGGAUUCCAGAAGAGUUUAAGGAGUGCGGAUGUUUGAGAAUCCCUGCUGUCUAAAGGAUCCUUAGAAAGGGUGAUCCAUCCACCAAGAUCCCACAGAGAGCCUUGGGGUUGGAGGGAACAAACCCUGAUAAGUAUUAAAUUCCAUGGUGAACGUGGGAAAUGUGCCUUUUCACUGAACUCUUUGAAGAAGCCUAAGCUACACAAUGCUAUUAUUAUUUUGGGGGAUAAGGGACUUGGCUAAGAGAUUAAAUCAUGUGAGCAGUCUAUGCAGAGCUCAGGAACUGGGGCCAGGGUUCUGACUCCACUUUCUGCUGCCUACAGGAAGCCAGGCCUAGGUUCCUCACUUCCUGUGGGUUGCUUUACAGACUCUACCAUUGAAAUCAAUUCUUUAAACGUUUGAGUAUGAUAGAGACGGUACAUUCCAAAAAGGACAAAAUUUACUCUGCCAAGUAGUACCUAACUCAGUAGGAAUGAUAAAGAUUGUUCACUUGCCCUGGGAGUUCACGUUGAGGAACUAAGGGUAAGAUGUAGAGGAGAGAUCCGGGCCAGGGCCCUGCUGCAGUUUCCAUUUCAGGCCACUCAGGACCCCUUCUCUUCUCGCCUGUCCCCUUAAAAAUAUGUAAAUACACUUGUAAAUAGAGUUAAAAGAGAUUCAGAGCCAGGAGGUAAUGGGCUGGAGGGUUGGAGAGGGAGGGACGAGGUCGGGAAGGGCGGAAUGAAUCCUUUGAAGGGGAGGUGACCCAGAAGAAAGGCCUACCCUCUCUGGUAUCAUCCUUGGCAGGGAGGGGGGGUGCCUCUUUCAUUCCCCCCCCCACCCCGGGGGGACUUUCCCCGCUUUCCAACACUCAUUUACCUCCAUCAUUUGUCCCUGGCUCUUCCACCCUCUUCACCUCCCUCCGGCACCCUGGGGGGAACAGAGGCGAGCCUGCUAGGCUCUUAAGUGAGGUGGGGAGGGGAGGGGAUGCUGGAGCUGGGUAUCACCCCCCAGGACGAAGCUGGCCAGGUCCUCACAGCCGCUGCGCCAGGAGCUUCUCAUUGGGACGUCCUCCUCCAGGACGGAUGGGUCUUUUGGGCGCUGGGCUCAAUGGAAAUGCUCUGUGGUUCAGAGCUCUCUCCUGCUCCAACAGGCAGGACACCAGAAGGCUAGGGUUGCUUUGUUGCUGCAGCAGCAGAGACUUGAAACGGUGGGCGCGUUAGGGCAGGUUUAUGAAAGCACAGGUACACUGGGAGGCAAUGAUAAGGAUCUGGUAAUUCUUGUCUUGGCCAGAGGCUUUGAGUAGAGUCUCUUUGAGGGGGACUCGAAGUUAACAUUCUUCCUUCUUUCUCUUGGGGCAAGUCUUUGGCCCCUUUGAACACCCUGCUCAUGUUUCCCUCUAUGGCAUCUGGGAACCCAGAUUAUAAGGGAAGAGGGGCGACAACCAUUCUGGCUGCUUCCUGCUGAACGUGGGUGUUGCAGGGCUCUGGGUUCCUUCUGCCUGCUCUCAGGGCAUUCCUGAAGAGGGCGGUGUGGCCCCACGGGGCGCUGUGAUGGCUUUUUUCAACAUUGUCAGGUGUUGAUUGGUUGAUAUCCCCACUGUAUAUCAUUUGGAGACUUGUUUGUUGUAUUCUAGAAGAAACAAACUUAACCGGCCGAUGAAAAGUUGAGGCCAAAGAUCAGAAAGAGAAUUAUUGUAAUGAAGCCACUUAGUGUAGUCAUCUGUUUAACAUAAGUGUAACAGAUGCAGUCAGGAACAAUUGGAGAAGUGACGGUCUGAGUGUUGAUAGACAGAGGAGAUCCCACUUUUUCUAGAAUAAGUCUGAAAGCCAACCUGGACCUGGCACUUUGAGGGGACUUGUGAGGUCCAGCUUUCUCUGUAGCACAGGAGCCCGCCCUUGGCUGCAUGCCCUGCCCCUGCCUGUUACCCACCCUGCCACCAGGCUGCACAUAGAAGGCCUAUGAGCUCCAACUCUCAGCGGAUCACCCCACAUCCCUCCCACCCUCACCCUGCAGUGCUCCUGGCUGCCUCCCCCCAACCCUCCUGCCCCUCACUGGGUCUCCUACCAGCCAGCAUCCUUGCCCCCUACUCCCUACGCACUGCACCCUAGGUUCUCAGUGGCUUCUUGGCCAUCCAGAGGAAAUCAACCUUGACCAUUUGGUCAAGGACCCCAUCUUCCUGUGCUGCCUCCAUCACCUGGUUGCACUUCUAAUGGGCAGAUGAGCCCCGCCGCCCCACCCAGCCUUUGAUAAAAUAGCGUGAAAAUUCCUGUCUUCUUUGUCAGUGCAGGGACCAAAAGCCAAAACCAAAACAAAGUAACUGGAAGCAAAUGAAUGAUUGAAAGCGAGAAAAUUAGAAUAUCAGGAUGGAAUUUGAAGCACAUUCCUGUAGCAGCUGUCAACAUUUAAUGUGGAUUUAGAAGAAAAGAUUACAAUUUGAGGACCUUGGAAUACAGGAUGAGUCAAUGUUUUGAUAAAAUAUUUCCCAUUAAACCUUUCCCAUCAAUCUGCCCCACCGGCCCACCCUCCAAACACACCUAUAUCCCUAUUUCUUAGUACUUAACUUUUAAAACCAAUGUCUUUACAGUGAAAUUAAAUUGAAAAAUACUUCAGUUGGUUAAACUAGGUUUUCCCUAGUUCAUUUUUUAAGUUCUUUCUUCAAAAGCAUCUCCCUUUCCGUUCUUGGUGUCGGAAAUGGUUUUUUCAUUUAGAAAAGGAGAGAAAAGUAGAGACCAGAAGUCCCAUGUGAGGCUGAUGGGGGUGCACUUAGAGGGCCCAGCUCUUCAGUGGGGGAGCGCAUGGGGGUGGAGACCAAGGUCAGGUUUGCCUCCUCCCGCCACACCAGGUAGGGAGGGGAGCCCUCAUUCCGAUAACUGCACCUGCGCGUAUGGAGUGCGCACGGCCGGAGGGAGAUGGCAAGCGCCCAUCCAGAGACGCCUAUGCGUGGAGCAUGUAGAACCGUGGCCCAGCGAGGAUGUUCUGUAAACAUUCUACAUACCGUGCUGAUUUUUAGCCAUUUACUGCAGGAACCUGCUCAUAUUUUUGUACAUUAUUUAUUCAUUCGGAUUUAUUAAAUUCCUACUUUGUUCCAGCUUAGGUUGUGUGCCGAGCAUUUAAAGGUGAACAAGACUCAUUUCCUCCUUCAAGGACAUCCUUGUCUAGUACAGAGACAUAGACGUGAAAAUGGUUUUAAAUGUAUUUCGAUUUUUUUCUUUCCCACAGGUACCCUCCUGUGUUUAAUUGUGGAUGUGAUUCGUACAAGUUCUGCAGGAACACAGAGAGAUGGUGGUGAAGUUAGAUAUAGAAGGUGGGAGCUCAGGGUGAAAAUUCUGGGCCAGAAAUAGAGGUUUGAAGGUCCUCACACAUAAGAAAAGGUUACCAUCAUCAGAGGAAUUGAGAUGACCCAGGAAGAAUAUGUGUAAUGACGAGAGAACAGAGUAAGGACGUAAUUUUAGAGAUUUUAAGUGCCUUGAAAGAUGAAUUUGAGGAGGGUACCAGUUUAUAGUCAGAGGUGACUCAUGUGGUUAGAUGCUACUAAACGUUUGUUUCAAAAGGUGGAAUUAUCAAGUUUGGUCAUUCCUUCCACUCGUGACUCAAGCAAGUCAUAAACAUCCAUCAUAUGUUCGACAUAGUGCCAGACCCCACAGCUAUCUGUGCCAUAAAACAAAGCCCUGCCCUCUUGGGACUUAUGUAUUUGCCAACAUAAAUCUAACCUGAAACAACUGAAAGAUUCUAUGAGAUGCCAGAAUGAGGGUCGCCAAAGCAGUAUAAGACACUGAACACAAUUAAGUGAAAACCACCAUGCAAUCAGGAAUGUCUUUAUGGAAAAAAAGCAUGAAACAAUGCCAUUUGCAGCAAUAUGGAUGGACCUAGAGAUUAUCAUACAAAGUGAAGUAAGUCAGACAGAGGAAGAUAAAUAUCAUAUGACAUCACUUAUAUGUGGAAUCUAAUAAAAAUGAUACAAAAGAACUUGUUUACAAAACAGGAACAGACUCAAAGAUUUCAAAAUCAAACUUACGGUUACCAAAGGGGAAAUGUGGGGGUAAGAGGAGAGAGAAAUUGGGAGUUUGGGAUUAACAUAUACCUAUCACUAUGUAUAAAAUAGAUAACCAACAAGGAUCUGCUGUAUAGCACAGGGAAAUCUACUCAGUAUUCUAUAAUAACCUAUAUGGGGAAAGACUCUGAGAAAGAAUGAAUGUAUGUAUAACGGUUUCACUUUGCUGUACACCUGAAACUAACACAACAUCGUACGCCAACUAGACUCCAAUAAUCU